UACGUAGGGUGCGAGCGUUAAUCGGAAUUACUGGGCGUAAAGCGUGCGCAGGCGGUGAUGUAAGACCGAUGUGAAAUCCCCGGGCUUAACCUGGGAACUGCAUUGGUGACUGGCAGGCUUUGAGUGUGGCAGAGGGAGGUAGAAUUCCACGUGUAGCAGUGAAAUGCGUAGAGAUGUGGAGGAAUACCGAUGGCGAAGGCAGCCUCCUGGGCCAACACUGACGCUCAUGCACGAAAGCGUGGGGAGCAAACAGG
RNAcentral lists this ribosomal RNA (254 nucleotides) under uncultured bacterium. RNAcentral describes it as "partial 16S ribosomal RNA". It matches the Rfam family "Bacterial small subunit ribosomal RNA", at positions 524 to 776 of the family's 1533-position model. The record is from RNAcentral.